GACGAGGUGGCCGAGUGGUUAAGGCGAUGGACUGCUAAUCCAUUGUGCUCUGCACGCGUGGGUUCAAAUCCCCCCUCGUCG
This 81-nucleotide transfer RNA is filed under the name Callorhinchus milii (elephant shark). Its description in RNAcentral is "tRNA-Ser (GCT) (tRNA-Ser-GCT-12-1, tRNA-Ser-GCT-12-2)". It matches the Rfam family "tRNA". From Rfam's summary of the family: Transfer RNA (tRNA) molecules are approximately 80 nucleotides in length. Their secondary structure includes four short double-helical elements and three loops (D, anti-codon, and T loops). Lineage: Eukaryota; Metazoa; Chordata; Chondrichthyes; Chimaeriformes; Callorhinchidae. The record is from Rfam by way of RNAcentral.